AUGGAUGUCUGAGUGGUUGAAGGUCUCAGUCUUGAAAACUGAUAUAUUUUAAUAUCGGGGGUUCGAAUCCCUCUCCAUC
This 79-nucleotide transfer RNA is filed under the name Nephroselmis pyriformis. It matches the Rfam family "tRNA". From Rfam's summary of the family: Transfer RNA (tRNA) molecules are approximately 80 nucleotides in length. Their secondary structure includes four short double-helical elements and three loops (D, anti-codon, and T loops). The record is from RNAcentral. Lineage: Eukaryota; Viridiplantae; Chlorophyta; Nephroselmidophyceae; Nephroselmidales; Nephroselmidaceae.